UGCUAUUUACAUACGGACACGUGCCGAGGGUAUUUACCCGACCAAAGUCUAAUUAAACAUGGCGGACGACAAACUCCAAUUUUCUUUUCUUUCUACACGGUGAAUGCUAGUGGAUGAUAUUGCAUUCGUUGAGCCAAGAAUAAUAUGUCCUGUACAGAAAGGAACCUUUCAUUGGUAGAUAGAGAAGUUCUGAAUCCUGUAACAUCUUUGGAAAUAGAUUCGACAGGACAUCUUUUUGUUGGGGAAGGACCUUAUCUUAAAAUAUAUGAGAUCACAGAUGGAAGAUGCAUUGGUAAAGAACGACUAUUUGAGCACCAGAGAAUCCACUCAUUAAAAUUAUGUGACUGUAACAUUGGAACAUUGGUAAUUGCUUGUGGAGGCAGGACUGUUGGUGCUUUCAAUGUGCAUGUUGCAGAAACCAAAAGCAUCUUCAAAAAGAUACUUCCAAUUAAUGAAGUAACAUUCAAUGACUGGAUUUGGGAUGCAUGCUUACUUAGUGGUGAAAACAAUGAUGAUAAGUGUCAAAGUGCCCUUGUAGUGACUGCUCACAAUGCUGUAUGGUUGUGGAAUAUUGCAGAGAAUUCUUCAAGGAAAAUUGCACAGUGUGAAGAAAAUUGCAUUUUAUAUUGUGCACGGUUUAUUCUGCAGACAACAGAUCUUGUCUGGGUGGCAUGUGGGACAGUUUUUAAUGAACUUUUACUCUGGAAACUAUCUAUCUCCUGUUCGUUUGAAAAACAAGCUGUUGUUCAAAAACGAAUUGCAGGACACGAUGGUGUGAUUUUUUCUGUUCGAUACUCUAUCGAAAGAAGUCUUCUUUGCUCUGUUUCUGAUGAUAGAAGUAUCAAAGUACGAAAGGUUGUCUUUUCCAGUGAUUUCGCUGAUGUUCAGGUUUUCCCAACGUUGUUGACUCUCUACGGACACAAAGCCCGUGUGUGGGACUGUCUCAUCCUAAAAGAACACAUCGUUAGUAUCGGAGAAGAUUCCUUGUGUUUACUUUGGAAUUCUAAUGGUGAAAUUGUUCGGUCUUGGAAAGGACAUAUUGGUAAAGGUGUUUGGUCGUUGGCUUCCAAUGCUGAUGAAAGCAUUAUUGCUACAGGCGGUGGUGAUGGUGGAAUUCGCUUGUGGCCUGUGAAGGAUGAAGUUGAACAAGAGAGUGAACAACAGCAUUGGUCUUCGUCUAUACCGUCUGAAUAUGAAGCAGGCACUCUUGCGUCUAAAGAGAAUCCGCGCAUGAUCGGAAUGCUUUUGGACACAAGUGUUCUUGUGUUGACAGAUACUGGGAAUCUUUACAAAUUCACUCAAAAUGAAGAUGCAGCUCACAAAGUGAUGUGUUAUUGUAUACGACAAGAACCGACUUAUUCAUCGUACAGUUUGAUGGUGGUGUCUCCUUGCAAGACUAUUGCUGUCCUUGGUAACAUUAAAGGAUUUAUGAAAUUUGUAUGUUUGACAGAUCAGUCUUGGCAUAGCUUAGAGAAAAGACCGUACGAAAACAAGAUCCUCAGUCUUCAAUGUACAAAUACUUCAACUCCAAACGCUUUCAGUUUAUUUUCAUGUGGACCGGAUGGUCUAAUCAUUUGGUGGAUAAUUGCAAGAGUCCAUGACUCUAAACAGUUUGUUUGUGAGCAAAAGGCGACGUUUUCUUUGCCAUAUUGCAGGCAACGUUGGCUUAAUACGGUACUUGUUGUCAAUAAUACUCCAAGCAAGGGUUUGGAAACAUCUCUAGUUCUUUGCGGUGAUCGUAGAGGCUCACUUCAUGUUUACAAUGUUUCUGCAUCGAUGGACGAGUUUCAGGUGCUACAACCACAGAAGUCAUUUGUGGGAAUUCACGGAGCGAAUGGCGUAACUUCUAUUGUUUAUCACUCGACUGGUCUUUACACAACAGGGCGGGAUGGUUAUCUCAGACGAUAUAAACUUCACAGCAACGAAGGAAUGAUAGAAAUGAUUGAUAAGAGAAAGGUUUAUAAAGGUGUGAAUUGGAUUGAUCGUAUCAUUUUUCUCACCAAUGGAGACAUUUUGGCCGUCGUGUUUCAGUCAGUAGAUUUUAUCGUCUGGAAUAUCACUCGUGAAGAAGUGAUGUUUCGUUUACCUUGUGGAGGCGGUCACCGUAACUGGGAUAUUCAGUUCAAUUUGAUGAAUGGUUCGUUUGUGUUUACUUUCCUGAAACAAAGCACAGUAAAUGUGUGUCGCUGGUCAAGAAAAAUGAAACAGCCAUCUUCUAUUAUUCAGAAAUGCUUUCAUGGUCGUGAAACAAACACUGUCGAUGUGAUUGGAUCUAUACAAAAUAACUACAAUGAUGAGUUUCAUGUGCUGGUUACUGGAAGCGAAGAUACCACUUUAAAUAUCAUGCUAUAUAAAACAGGAGAAUAUCAAAAGGAAAGAUUAUUCAAAGUGCUGACAUGCGAAGGUCAUGUGUCCAGUGUCCGCUGCUGUUCUUGUAUUAAAAUCAAAUGUUUGCGAGAAGAUAAGGACUUUCCUAAGGUUUUGAUUUUUUCUGCUGGGAGUCGAGCUUCAUUAAAAUGUUGGUUGUUAGACAUAAACGAUCUUUGCGAUUCUAAUGCUGCGUUAGAAAAAGACAUGGAAAAAGAAAAAAACUCUUUAAAAUGGAGCUGUUGCCUUGUAGGCGAACUUAAAAGCUCUCGAUAUAAGCGACACAAGAAGAAAGGUUUCAACUCUUGUAGCAAUGAAGAUUUUAUUUCAGAUAUGCGCUUCAUGGCGAUCACAACAUUCCUCAUUUCUGAUGUUUGUGCUUCCUUAUUGAGCAACGUAGAUGAUUCGUCAUAUUACGUCAUCGGUGUUGUUACGGCCUGCUCCGAUGGAUACCUGAGAUGCUACGUGUUUGAUUCUGAAUCGAAAUCAUUCACAAUGGUGGAGAAAAUAUCGUGGAACGGAAAAUGCAUCUUAUGUGUGGGACAUUUUAGCGUCAAAUCAUCGAAAAAAUCUUUUCUUCUCGUUUAUGCAUCAGACACAGCUGGAAACGUUACUUUUUGGGAUGUAACAGAGAUCUUUUCCCCCUAUGUUAAGGCGUCCAGCGAUGAUGUCCGUACCUCAAGUGAGCUGCAAGAAAUCAUACAACAUGAUGGCGAGGAUGUUUUUGUGAAUGGUCCUUCGUCAUCGGUUUUAGAUGAUUUUCAAAAAGAUAACUCGGUCAGUGACAUGAAAUCAUUUAGCGAAGAGAAACGUGCUUUUAAAGUGAUACAUCAAGUGAAGGAACAUCAGUCUGGUGUGAAUGCAUUGAUGAUCUCAAAAAAGGGUAUUUAUGAGUAUUUGAUGUGCAGUGGUGGUGACGAUGGUGCCGUCGUUUUUGCUUGUUUCAAGGUAGAAACAACGAAUGAAAUCUUGAAGUUUUCUUCGUGGGGCUCCAUAUCGUUUCCUGGUGCUCACACCUCAGCUGUUACAGGAUUCAAAAUCUUGGACAAUAAUCUUGCUAUAACAGUUUCUGGUGAUCAAAGAAUGAAAAUGUGGAAAGUUGGUGAAAAAACUCAGAAUGGAAAAUUGUGCAAUGUUGAACUCCUUCAAUGUUACUGGCUUGAUGUUGUUGAUGUAAAAGGAUUAGAUGUCCUUCAAGAUAGGAAUGGUUUGUACUAUGUCGUUGCAUGUGGAGUUGGUCUCGAACUAUUUGUGUUUGGCUUAAGCUGACAAACAAGCAACCGUCUUUUUAUGACCUGGAUUAUCUUGUGAUGAUAAUUUAAAGCAUAGGUGAUGUUUAAAAUGGCCAUUCGUCGUCUUACAUUGAAAAGGAAAAUGUUGUUUACAUUUGAAGGAUGUUUUAACUGCUUCCGUUACUGUUACUAUGGCUUUUUGUUGCCAUUUUCAGUCUUUUACUUUCACAUUGACAAACAAUUUGCAUAAAUAAAAUUUAAAAGACGUUUUUGUAUUUGAAAUGGGAAGCGCUCACGAGUUUUGAUGUCUAAUGCACUGACUCGUCCUGUACAUUUGAAAUAUAACAAGUCACUUUUUAAUGGCAUAGUUCAAACGCUCAACUUGGACGAGGUGUAUAAGAUCCUUCGUAAAGAAAGAAAAUGUUCGUACUUUGACCCCAUUUAAUUGCAACUAUAAUGUUAAUUAAUCUCUAUUAUCUAUCCAAAUUCUGUUUUUGUCAAGUUUAUAACCCCUACACGAUUUCCGGGUGAGUUCAAGUGUGCACGCCAUUCCACUAGCUUGUAAGAAUUGCAUUUAGUCGUGAUCUAUGUAGUUGUGCUGAUGUUUA
Molecule: RNA transcript, 4207 nt
Organism: Xenia sp. Carnegie-2017
Lineage: Eukaryota; Metazoa; Cnidaria; Anthozoa; Malacalcyonacea; Xeniidae
Gene name: WD repeat-containing protein 6-like
Exons: 22
Source: RefSeq, a predicted model, not a curated record